This is a regulatory RNA element of 165 nucleotides. It matches the Rfam family "Ribosomal protein L10 leader". Rfam says of the family: This family is a putative r-protein leader autoregulatory structure found in B. subtilis and other low-GC Gram-positive bacteria. It is located in the 5' untranslated regions of mRNAs encoding ribosomal proteins L10 and L12 (rplJ-rplL). The record is from Rfam.
UAGAUUUAAUAAAAUAAACCGUAGACAGUAGGUGCUAACGCAUAACGUAAAUCAACCUGCCUAGGUACAACAACAGUUAUAAGAGCUAUGCUUAAAUAGUCUCUUUGGCUAUAGGUGUCACUUAGCUUACGGUUUAUGCUAAAGUGACUAUUUUUUUAUCUAAAA